This 612-nucleotide ribosomal RNA is filed under the name Salmonella enterica. RNAcentral describes it as "partial 23S ribosomal RNA". It matches the Rfam family "Bacterial large subunit ribosomal RNA", at positions 2331 to 2925 of the family's 2925-position model. Lineage: Bacteria; Pseudomonadati; Pseudomonadota; Gammaproteobacteria; Enterobacterales; Enterobacteriaceae. RNAcentral also lists the same sequence under 1 other name. The record is from RNAcentral.
UCGGACAUCAGGAGGUUAGUGCAAUGGCAUAAGCCAGCUUGACUGCGAGCGUGACGGCGCGAGCAGGUGCGAAAGCAGGUCAUAGUGAUCCGGUGGUUCUGAAUGGAAGGGCCAUCGCUCAACGGAUAAAAGGUACUCCGGGGAUAACAGGCUGAUACCGCCCAAGAGUUCAUAUCGACGGCGGUGUUUGGCACCUCGAUGUCGGCUCAUCACAUCCUGGGGCUGAAGUAGGUCCCAAGGGUAUGGCUGUUCGCCAUUUAAAGUGGUACGCGAGCUGGGUUUAGAACGUCGUGAGACAGUUCGGUCCCUAUCUGCCGUGGGCGCUGGAGAACUGAGGGGGGCUGCUCCUAGUACGAGAGGACCGGAGUGGACGCAUCACUGGUGUUCGGGUUGUCAUGCCAAUGGCACUGCCCGGUAGCUAAAUGCGGAAGAGAUAAGUGCUGAAAGCAUCUAAGCACGAAACUUGCCCCGAGAUGAGUUCUCCCUGAGACUACAAGUCUCCUGAAGGAACGUUGAAGACGACGACGUUGAUAGGCCGGGUGUGUAAGCGCAGCGAUGCGUUGAGCUAACCGGUACUAAUGAACCGUGAGGCUUAACCUUACAACGCCGAAG